This 279-nucleotide ribosomal RNA is filed under the name uncultured bacterium. RNAcentral's name for it is "partial 16S ribosomal RNA". It matches the Rfam family "Bacterial small subunit ribosomal RNA", at positions 506 to 784 of the family's 1533-position model. The record is from RNAcentral.
UGCCAGCCGCCGCGGUAAUACAGAGGGUGCAAGCGUUAAUCGGAAUUACUGGGCGUAAAGGGCGCGUAGGCGGAUAUUUAAGUUAGAUGUGAAAUCCCUGGGCUUAACCUAGGAACUGCAUUUAAAACUGGGUAUCUGGAGUAUUGUAGAGGGUAGUGGAAUUUCCGGUGUAGCGGUGAAAUGCGUAGAGAUCGGAAGGAACACCAGUGGCGAAGGCGGCUACCUGGACAAAUACUGACGCUGAGGCGCGAAAGCGUGGGGAGCAAACAGGAUUAGAUA